Oryza barthii is the source of this 208-nucleotide non-coding RNA. NCBI's taxonomy places the organism in Eukaryota, Viridiplantae, Streptophyta, Magnoliopsida, Poales, Poaceae. The record is from Rfam.
AAUAAAUACAGUUUUGCACUCUUCACGUUCAACGUUUGACCAUUCGUCUUAUUUAAAUUUUUUUAGAUUAGUAUUUUUUUAUUGCUAUUAGAUGAUAAAACAUGAAUAGUACUUUAUGUGUGACUAAUUUUUUAAAAAAAUUUCAUAAAUUUUUUAAAUAAGAUGAACGGUCAAACAUUAGAUAUGGAUAUUCACAGCUGCACUUAUU